GUGCUCACUUUGGCAGCACAUAUAGAAAAAUUGGAACAAGACAGAGAAGAUUAGCAUGGUCCCCGCACAAGCAUGACACGCAAGAGUUCUAUCUGAGGAAAAUCAAA
Molecule: small nuclear RNA, 107 nt
Organism: Echinops telfairi (small Madagascar hedgehog)
Lineage: Eukaryota; Metazoa; Chordata; Mammalia; Afrosoricida; Tenrecidae
Source: Ensembl